AUUUGCGAAUUUGUAUAGUCUUUGGCUAGAAUUGGGACAGCGUGUAUUCAAAGGUCCAAAGGAUUAUUCAAUUAUGGAGCCUUCCACAUCUCAGAUGCGUUCGGCUUUGGAACAUUCAAUGAGCCGUCGAGAGCUUUUCAAGCAAAAGGCUUAGAAAGAUUUGGAGCUUAUUUUAGGUAGCGUGAAAAAUUGUUCGAUGGCCGAAAUUUUGAGCGAAUUUGUUACGUAUGUUGGGUACACUAGACCGUCUAUUAGCAGAACAAUAGUAAAAUUAAUAAUUUCGUUUGUAACGGGGUUUUAUUUAUAGCUUGGGUUUCGCUCAGGUCGGUCCAGCGGUCCGUUCCAAGAAAAUUUGUUCGCUGAACAUACUUCGGUGUUAGAUCAAAAAUAUAUAUUUAUGGAAUCCAAGAAGCAUACAAGAUGGUGACGCAACGUUAUUUAUUUUUAUUUAUAUUUACACAACAAAUCUUUUAAUCGGAGCCGGUAACGAUGUCUGCUUCCUUACACGUUUCGUGUUGAAACUUCCACUCAUGAAGAAGAUAUUUGGAGAUCGUCCGAAGCUUUCGUUGCUUUAAUGGAUAUGUUUUCCCAUAAUGAUUGGCGUGAAAUUAUAAUGUAAACGGACUUAGCUAAAGAAGUUCAGAAACUGGAGAAGACGUUUAGGAGUAAAGCUCGUUCGGCCUACCUAGCUCCACA
This is a long non-coding RNA of Glossina fuscipes, 696 nucleotides long. RefSeq lists it as uncharacterized. Lineage: Eukaryota; Metazoa; Arthropoda; Insecta; Diptera; Glossinidae. The record is from RefSeq and is a predicted model, not a curated record. The transcript is spliced from 3 exons.